RNAcentral lists this unclassified non-coding RNA (890 nucleotides) under uncultured bacterium. RNAcentral's name for it is "partial contains 16S ribosomal RNA, 16S-23S ribosomal RNA intergenic spacer, and 23S ribosomal RNA". The stretch from base 755 to 890 matches the Rfam family "Bacterial large subunit ribosomal RNA", at positions 1 to 135 of the family's 2925-position model. The record is from RNAcentral.
GCUUUGCGGCUGGAUCCCCUCCUUUCUAAGGAUGUCUCUUCAUGGAGCCCCGAGCCCGGGACCACUCCAUAUCGAGGCGCUUGGAACAAGGCUCGUCCAAGUCACGGACGGGCCGUCAAAACGAGCGGGAGCCGCCGCCUUCGUUUCUCUUUCUUCGACGGAAAACGACACUCCUGCCGGGCUUUAACGACGGCAUUGCCUGACGAUGCCAUUGCACGGCUCCUAAGCGAUUUGGGGCCUGUAGCUCAGGUGGUUAGAGCGCACCCCUGAUAAGGGUGAGGUCGAUAGUUCGAGUCUAUCCAGGCCCACCAGAUCGCUUCGCCGCGGGCAACGCGGCGCAGGGCAGGGGUGCGGCCGGAUUUGGGCACCGCCAUUGCGGCGCAUGCCGUUUCGGGGCCAUAGCUCAGUUGGGAGAGCGCCUGAUUUGCAUUCAGGAGGUCGUCGGUUCGAUUCCGUCUGGCUCCACCACCUUUGCGUGGCGGACCGCCGGUAAUUCCGUCGAGAAAAAAGUUUGCGCACGCCGCAGGGUGUGCGCCUGUUCAGCAAAUAUCGUGAAGAGAAGGUUUGUUCGGGCUUUCCGCCAAGGAAAGCGCGGCGUCGCGGUCUAGCCGGCCGCCCGCCAUAUGUUUGCUCCGCCUGACCGCGGGCAACCGGACAGAUCUCGUGAAACUGGUCUUUCCCGGCCCCAGGACGCCGAGUGUCCUCGGGCCGGAUAUGCCGUGACGAUCGCAAGAUGGUCAUCGGCAAUGAGAACGAUCAAGUGUCUGAAGGGCAUUUGGUGGAUGCCUUGGCAUGCACAGGCGAUGAAGGACGUGAUACGCUGCGAUAAGCGUCGGGGAGCUGCGAAUAAGCUUUGAUCCGACGAUCUCCGAAUGGGGAAACCCGGAAGC